CUCAGGAUGAACGCUAGCUACAGGCUUAACACAUGCAAGUCGAGGGGCAGCAUUUUAGUUUGCUUGCAAACUAAAGAUGGCGACCGGCGCACGGGUGAGUAACACGUAUCCAACCUGCCGAUAACUCGGGGAUAGCCUUUCGAAAGAAAGAUUAAUAUCCGAUAGUAUAUUAAAACCGCAUGGUUUUACUAUUAAAGAAUUUCGGUUAUCGAUGGGGAUGCGUUCCAUUAGUUUGUUGGCGGGGUAACGGCCCACCAAGACUACGAUGGAUAGGGGUUCUGAGAGGAAGGUCCCCCACAUUGGAACUGAGACACGGUCCAAACUCCUACGGGAGGCAGCAGUGAGGAAUAUUGGUCAAUGGACGAGAGUCUGAACCAGCCAAGUAGCGUGAAGGAUGACUGCCCUAUGGGUUGUAAACUUCUUUUAUAUGGGAAUAAAGUAUUCCACGUGUGGGAUUUUGUAUGUACCAUAUGAAUAAGGAUCGGCUAACUCCGUGCCAGCAGCCGCGGUAAUACGGAGGAUCCGAGCGUUAUCCGGAUUUAUUGGGUUUAAAGGGAGCGUAGGUGGAUUGUUAAGUCAGUUGUGAAAGUUUGCGGCUCAACCGUAAAAUUGCAGUUGAAACUGGCAGUCUUGAGUACAGUAGAGGUGGGCGGAAUUCGUGGUGUAGCGGUGAAAUGCUUAGAUAUCACGAAGAACUCCGAUUGCGAAGGCAGCUCACUAGACUGCAACUGACACUGAUGCUCGAAAGUGUGGGUAUCAAACAGGAUUAGAUACCCUGGUAGUCCACACAGUAAACGAUGAAUACUCGCUGUUUGCGAUAUACAGUAAGCGGCCAAGCGAAAGCAUUAAGUAUUCCACCUGGGGAGUACGCCGGCAACGGUGAAACUCAAAGGAAUUGACGGGGGCCCGCACAAGCGGAGGAACAUGUGGUUUAAUUCGAUGAUACGCGAGGAACCUUACCCGGGCUUAAAUUGCAUUUGAAUAAUCUGGAAACAGGUUAGCCGCAAGGCAAAUGUGAAGGUGCUGCAUGGUUGUCGUCAGCUCGUGCCGUGAGGUGUCGGCUUAAGUGCCAUAACGAGCGCAACCCUUAUCUUUAGUUACUAACAGGUGAUGCUGAGGACUCUAGAGAGACUGCCGUCGUAAGAUGUGAGGAAGGUGGGGAUGACGUCAAAUCAGCACGGCCCUUACGUCCGGGGCUACACACGUGUUACAAUGGGGGGUACAGAAGGCAGCUACCUGGCGACAGGAUGCUAAUCCCAAAAACCUCUCUCAGUUCGGAUCGAAGUCUGCAACCCGACUUCGUGAAGCUGGAUUCGCUAGUAAUCGCGCAUCAGCCAUGGCGCAGUGAAUACGUUCCCGGGCCUUGCACUCACCGCCCGUCAAG
RNAcentral lists this ribosomal RNA (1384 nucleotides) under uncultured bacterium. Its description in RNAcentral is "bacterial SSU rRNA". It matches the Rfam family "Bacterial small subunit ribosomal RNA", at positions 23 to 1401 of the family's 1533-position model. The record is from RNAcentral.